GUAACACAUAACUGUGCUAGAGUGGCUCAGAAAAUCCACCAGGCUUGGCUCCCUUACAGGUGACUGACAGUGAGUGACAGAUGCUGCCACUUACAGUGCUCGUUUGUUACCUUCUGGAUUAUGUUGCAGUAGGUCGUAUGCAAAGAGGUACAACUGCAGCACUCAGGUGAAGCCUCGGCUAAACUUACAGGGUAGAUGUACUGUGCCCAAACCGAGGGCUCGUCUGUCCUCAGGCUGACUGCAGUGAACUGCUGCCCAUCCCAGCACACGCCAAGAGCCCAGACGUAACCACUUCGUACAUUCCCAGUCUCCAGCAACCAGCAGCUCUGGGAUGGAACUGUGUAAAGAUUGCUAGGACAAGCCGAAUGAAAAAGGAACCAAGUGUGCCUGGAAAAUGAAUGGCUAGGAUUCACCAGAAUGAGCUGGAUGAAAAGAGAGGUAAAAAUGCACCACCCUGACGGCCUUAUGAUGGUGACUGAAGGCACAGUUGGACAGAAGCAUUUCCUCUAGGAGACAAAAUUUUCCCUUCCUUCCUCGAGACCUUCAAGUGACCCUACUGAAUUGUUAAAAUCCCAUUAGAAAGUGGUUGGUGGGAACAUGUGCAAUAAAUAGCUGCUAAAAUCAAAGGCAGCCUUGCUGAUACAAAAUCAAUGCGUUGCUGGUGGUGCAGGCAGUGUUCUUCUCUGGGAAAUGCAACAGC
Long non-coding RNA from Gallus gallus (chicken), 700 nucleotides. The record is from Ensembl. NCBI's taxonomy places the organism in Eukaryota, Metazoa, Chordata, Aves, Galliformes, Phasianidae.